Molecule: ribosomal RNA, 429 nt
Filed under: Chloroflexota bacterium
Lineage: Bacteria; Bacillati; Chloroflexota
Description: Chloroflexi bacterium partial 16S ribosomal RNA
Rfam family: Bacterial small subunit ribosomal RNA
Source: RNAcentral
UGGGGAAUAUUGCACAAUGGGCGCAAGCCUGAUGCAGCCAUGCCGCGUGUGUGAAGAAGGCCUUCGGGUUGUAAAGCACUUUCAGCGGGGAGGAAGGCGAUAAGGUUAAUAACCUUGUCGAUUGACGUUACCCGCAGAAGAAGCACCGGCUAACUCCGUGCCAGCAGCCGCGGUAAUACGGAGGGUGCAAGCGUUAAUCGGAAUUACUGGGCGUAAAGCGCACGCAGGCGGUCUGUCAAGUCGGAUGUGAAAUCCCCGGGCUCAACCUAGGAACUGCAUUCGAAACUGGCAGGCUAGAGUCUUGUAGAGGGGGGUAGAAUUCCAGGUGUAGCGGUGAAAUGCGUAGAGAUCUGGAGGAAUACCGGUGGCGAAGGCGGCCCCCUGGACAAAGACUGACGCUCAGGUGCGAAAGCGUGGGGAGCAAACAGG